UUCCGGUUGAUCCUGCCGGACCUGACUGCUAUCGGAUUGAUACUAAGCCAUGCGAGUCUUUGUAGUAAUACAAGGCAGACGGCUCAGUAACACGUAGUCAAUCUAACCUAUGGACGGGGAUAACCUCGGGAAACUGAGAAUAAUACCCGAUAGAUCAUUAUGCCUGGAAUGGUUUAUGGUCGAAAUGAUUUAUCGCCGUAGAUGGGACUGCGUUCUAUCAGCUUGUUGGUGAGGUAAUGGCCCACCAAGGCUAUAACAGAUACGGGCUCUGAGAGGAGAAGCCCGGAGAUGGGUACUGAGACACGGACCCAGGCCCUAUGGGGCGCAGCAGGCGAGAAAACUUUGCAAUGUGCGAAAGCACGACAAGGUUAAUCCGAGUGUUUUCUGCUAAAGAAAUCUUUUGUCAGUCCUAAAAACACUGAUGAAUAAGGGGUGGGCAAGUUCUGGUGUCAGCCGCCGCGGUAAAACCAGCACCUCAAGUGGUCAGGAGGAUUCAUUGGGCCUAAAGCAUCCGUAGGCCGGCUCUGUAAGUUUACGGUUAAAUCUAUAUGCUCAACAUAUAGGCUGCCGGGAAUACU
Molecule: ribosomal RNA, 578 nt
Filed under: uncultured archaeon
Lineage: Archaea
Description: bacterial SSU rRNA
Rfam family: Archaeal small subunit ribosomal RNA
Source: RNAcentral